GACGAACGCUGGCGGCGUGCUUAACACAUGCAAGUCGAGCGGUAAGGCCCUUUCGGGGGUACACGAGCGGCGAACGGGUGAGUAACACGUGGGUGACCUGCCUUUAGCUCUGGGAUAAGCCUGGGAAACUGGGUCUAAUACCGGAUAUGACCCUAUGGCGCAUGUUGUGGGGUGGAAAGCCUUGUGCGGCUAGGGAUGGGCCCGCGGCCUAUCAGCUUGUUGGUGGGGUGAUGGCCUACCAAGGCGACGACGGGUAGCCGGCCUGAGAGGGCGACCGGCCACACUGGGACUGAGGCACGGCCCAGACUCCUACGGGAGGGCAGCAGUGGGGAAUCUUGCGCAAUGGGCGAAAGCCUGACGCAGCGACGCCGCGUGAGGGAUGACGGCCUCGGUU
RNAcentral lists this ribosomal RNA (394 nucleotides) under uncultured bacterium. RNAcentral's name for it is "bacterial SSU rRNA". It matches the Rfam family "Bacterial small subunit ribosomal RNA", at positions 28 to 424 of the family's 1533-position model. The record is from RNAcentral.